AUGCAACAACUUGUACAGUUUUUGUGUCGUGCAAAAAAGAUUGAGAUAAGAAUAGAUUUCCGACGACGAGUUCUCAACACUGGCGCCAUUCAACCUACUCCGAACACCGCCUCGCCGGAAUCCAUGCGACUCCAUCAUUGUCAGAAGCACUCAUAUCCACCACCAACAAAAAAGCGAUGCAGAUCCAGCCAUCCCCGCUCAUCACAUUGUACACUACAUCGAACUACCAACCCGGUGACAGCAACACAACCUUCCCUCUGGCAGAUCCACCGCGACGCUGCAGCAGACAACGCCCAUCCGCCCCCGCGAUCAACGCUCUCCCCUCCGGUGAAGAAACCACACGCCCAGCUUCCACUGGAAUCGUGA
Non-coding RNA from Vicia faba (fava bean), 366 nucleotides. Lineage: Eukaryota; Viridiplantae; Streptophyta; Magnoliopsida; Fabales; Fabaceae. The record is from the annotation of a GenBank genome assembly.